Molecule: ribosomal RNA, 119 nt
Filed under: Pteropus alecto (black flying fox)
Lineage: Eukaryota; Metazoa; Chordata; Mammalia; Chiroptera; Pteropodidae
Source: RNAcentral
GUCUACAGCCUUGCUACCCUGAACAAGCCCGAUCCCAUCUGAUCUCAGAAGCUGAGCAUGGUCGGGCCUCAUUAAUACUUGGAUGGGAGACCACCUAAGAAGACCAGGUGCUGUAGGUG